AACGCGAAGAACCUUACCAAGGCUUGACAUAUACGAGAACGGGCCAGAAAUGGUCAACUCUUUGGACACUCGUAAACAGGUGGUGCAUGGUUGUCGUCAGCUCGUGUCGUGAGAUGUUGGGUUAAGUCCCGCAACGAGCGCAACCCUCGUUCUUUGUUGCCAGCACGUAAUGGUGGGAACUCAAAGGAGACUGCCGGGGUCAACUCGGAGGAAGGUGGGGAUGACGUCAAAUCAUCAUGCCCCUUAUGUCUUGGGCUUCACGCAUGCUACAAUGGCCGAUACAAAGGGCUGCAAUACCGUAAGGUGGAGCGAAUCCCAAAAAGUCGGUCUCAGUUCGGAUUGAGGUCUGCAACUCGACCUCAUGAAGUCGGAGUCGCUAGUAAUCGCAGAUCAGCAACGCUGCGGUGAAUACGUUCCCGGGCCUUGUACACACCGCUACAGU
Molecule: ribosomal RNA, 442 nt
Filed under: uncultured bacterium
Lineage: Bacteria
Description: bacterial SSU rRNA
Rfam family: Bacterial small subunit ribosomal RNA
Source: RNAcentral